RNAcentral lists this long non-coding RNA (291 nucleotides) under Carica papaya (papaya). RNAcentral's name for it is "long non-coding RNA (CPAP_LNC011188)". Lineage: Eukaryota; Viridiplantae; Streptophyta; Magnoliopsida; Brassicales; Caricaceae. The record is from RNAcentral.
ACACGUUAAGGGCCUCGGUUGGCCGAAAAAGUCAAAAAAUAAAAAUUUACCAGCAGCAGAAAUUUUUGGUGUGGCCCCUCCGCCGACUAACCUUCGCGGCUGGACAUUUUUCUUCGGUUAACUUGUAGAAAAUAGAAUAGUGAACACAAUGAUGGAAAAAUCGCACGAAACGAAAAAUAAGAAGGGGCUCAUCGGAGGCGAUUUUUUAUUUUUCUCGCAGCGUCACCGCCAGGUUUUAUCCGUGGUUUCUGACUCAUCCGCCAUUUCUUUUGUCUCGAUUUGACCAUGAGG